RNAcentral lists this transfer RNA (62 nucleotides) under Haementeria acuecueyetzin. RNAcentral describes it as "tRNA-Lys". The record is from RNAcentral. Lineage: Eukaryota; Metazoa; Annelida; Clitellata; Rhynchobdellida; Glossiphoniidae.
GACUAGAGAGCUUGUAUAUAAGCAUUCGACUUUUAAUCGAAAGAAAGUAAUACUUCUAGUCA